UACGUAGGGCGCAAGCGUUAUCCGGAAUUAUUGGGCGUAAAGAGCUCGUAGGCGGUCUGUCACGUCGGCUGUGAAAACCCGAGGCUCAACCUCGGGCCUGCAGUCGAUACGGGCAGACUAGAGUUCGGUAGGGGAGACUGGAAUUCCUGGUGUAGCGGUGAAAUGCGCAGAUAUCAGGAGGAACACCGGUGGCGAAGGCAGAUCUCUGGGCCGUAACUGACGCUGAGGAGCGAAAGCAUGGGAGCGAACAGG
This 252-nucleotide ribosomal RNA is filed under the name uncultured bacterium. RNAcentral describes it as "partial 16S ribosomal RNA". It matches the Rfam family "Bacterial small subunit ribosomal RNA", at positions 524 to 776 of the family's 1533-position model. The record is from RNAcentral.